Molecule: RNA transcript, 3068 nt
Organism: Fukomys damarensis (Damara mole-rat)
Lineage: Eukaryota; Metazoa; Chordata; Mammalia; Rodentia; Bathyergidae
Gene: Cdadc1
Gene name: cytidine and dCMP deaminase domain containing 1
Exons: 12
Source: RefSeq, a predicted model, not a curated record
UGGCGGCGACUGUCGGGCUUCAGACGUCAUCUGGCUGCGCCGAGCUGGCCGUUGCUUAUCUGUUGCUAGGGGGUGCCUACAGCCGAGUCGCUCUGUCAGGAUCAUGCCUGACAGGGACAGAUUUCUUGGUCAGCAGAGGCCACUAGGCUUGGAUGAAAGAAGCAGGGCAGAUGCAAAAUCUGGAGAGCGUGUGCGCUGGGCGGUCAGUCAGCACCCAGACUGGCAGCAUGACGGGUCAAAUACCAAGGCUUUCUAAAGUCAACCUCUUCACUCUGCUCAGUCUGUGGAUGGAGCUCUUUCCAGGAGCAGAAGCCCAAAGACAAAAAUCUCAGAAAAAUGAAGAGGGAAACUGUGGACCAUCAGGAGAUAAUGAAGAGAUGGCCAGUGUAUCUACUGACAAAAAACAGGUGAAGAAAACUGGUCUUGUGGUGGUGAAAAACAUGAAAAUUGUUGGUCUCCAUUGUUCUAGUGAAGAUUUACAUGCUGGGCAAAUUGCUCUUAUUAAACAUGGGUCAAGGCUGAAAAACUGUGAUCUUUAUUUUUCCAGAAAACCAUGUUCUGCUUGUUUGAAAAUGAUUGUAAAUGCUGGAGUUAACCGAAUUUCAUAUUGGCCUGCUGAUCCAGAAAUAAGCUUGCUUACUGAGGCUUCUAGUUCUGAAGAUGCAAAAUUAGAUGCCAAAGCAGUGGAAAGAUUGAAGUCAAACAGCCGAGCCCAUGUGUGUGUUUUACUCCAGCCUUUGGUGUGUUAUAUGGUGCAGUUUGUAGAGGAGUCUUCUUACAAAUGUGACUUUAUUCAAAAAAUUGCAAAAACAGUGCCAGAUGCUAACAUUGACUUUUAUUCUGAAUGUAAACAAGAAAGAAUAAAAGAAUAUGAAAUGGUAUUUUUGGUUUCAAAUGAAGAAAAGCAUAAGCAAAUACUGAUGACUAUAGGUCUGGAGAACCUGUGUGAAAAUCCAUACUUUAGCAAUUUAAGGGAAAACAUGAAAGACCUUAUCCUCCUUUUGGCCACUGUAGCUUCCAGUGUGCCCAACUUUAAACACUUUGGAUUCUACAGUAGCAAUCCAGAACAGAUUAAUGAAAUUCACAAUCAAAGUUUGCCACAAGAAAUUGCAAGGCACUGCAUGGUUCAGGCCAGGCUUUUGGCAUAUCGAACUGAGGACCAUAAGACAGGAGUUGGAGCAGUUAUUUGGGCAGAAGGGAAAUCUAGAAGUUGUGAUGGAACUAGUGCUAUGUACUUCAUAGGAUGUGGUUACAAUGCCUUUCCUGUUGGAUCUGAAUAUGCUGACUUCCCUCACAUGGACGACAAGCAGAAAGACAGAGAAAUAAGAAAGUUCAGAUACAUUAUACAUGCGGAACAGAAUGCUUUGACAUUUAGGUGUCAAGAAAUAAAGCCAGAAGAAAGAAGCAUGAUUUUUGUGACCAAGUGCCCAUGUGAUGAAUGUGUACCUUUAAUUAAAGGUGCAGGCAUAAAACAAAUCUAUGCAGGGGAUGUAGAUGUUGGAAGAAAGAAAGCAGACAUCUCUUACAUGAAGUUUGCUGAACUUGAAGGUGUUAGCAAAUUUACAUGGCAACUGGAUCCAUCUGAAGUUUAUGGCCUUGACAAAAAUGAGCCUGAAAGGAGAGACAAUGGUGUGUUGAGAACCACUCCUGUGAAUGAAGAGCAGCACCGCAGCAAGAAGCUGCGCCUGGAAAAGCAUGCAGAGGGCCUGUCCAUGCUGCAGUGACAGCCCUGGAAACUGUUACUGCACUUCUUCAAUACAGCCUCGUGACCUCAGAAAAUAAGGAAAGAUUUUGUGAAUCACUGAAAGGACAUCUGGAUUUCUGAAAGGACAUCCAUGCUCACUGCAGGGCCACAGAUCACAGCCCAGCCCUAGACCCAGGAAGACCAUUCCUGAGAGAGCCGCCGUUAUGCCUCCUCCUAGGAGACUCUUUUGAGCCAUACUUGGAGCAUCUCCUCAUCAGAUAUCCUCUAAACCCAAUAGGUGAGGCAGACUCAGCUUUAAUACCCCAGGGAUGAAGAAAUUCCACCUCAUAAAGCCACACUGGAAGUGUCCUCAUUAAAAUGUUAUCUUUAUAGAAUGACUGCCACCCCAUCUCGUCCCCCACAUUUCCAUCAUUGAUCCCUGGAAUCUAACACAGACCUCUUUGUGUCUCAUCCUGUACUACAUGAAUGGCCUUCAGUAUGUGACCAAUUCCCACCCCUCUAAAAUUUACUGUGACAUUGACCAAAGGUUUCUGUGUUAUGGGCAAACACUUGUCACAUCACUUUUACAUUUAACUUUCACAGCAUGAAAUGGGGAUUAUCACCUCUUUUACAGACAAGAAGAUGGAGUGUCAGGUUACAUGUCUUACCCAAAACUUCACCUGUAGUCAUUGCAGCGCCAGGAAAUGAACAUUCUUCUCCAAAUUCACUGUUUACACAAUUCAUUAACUUUGUCCCAGUGUCUCUGCAUUUUUUUCUUUCCAUCUACAACUCUGCUUGUCUACUGUGAGACAAGAAUGUUAAUGGCCCUAAUUUUUCACUUUUCUGUAGUUACAUCCUUCACCAAAUGGCUUUGCAAGGUCCUCCAAGAGUAAGAGUGCACUUCUCCACCUUGACUUUGAAUUCCACAGAAUAAGGCAGAAAUGUCUUGAUCCAGUUCUGACAUCAAGCCUCAAGGAUGAUUCAGUUGUGUUUCUGCCACCACCAAACACCAGCACAGAGCCACCCCCAGCCAGGCCAGCCUAGAUUAGGGGUCCAGUGAUCAAUCCACAGACUCGUGAGGAAAAAAAUCAUUGGUUUCAAGUUUCAGAGGAUGUGUUACUCAGCAUUUGGUUAAUGAUUGUGUUUUAUUGAUUGUGUCAAUUUGAGUAAGAAGUUCAACUAAAGUGGCUCAACAGUCCCACACCCUAGGGUAUGGAAGACCCACCCUAAGGUGGCUUGUUGCCUGGAUGGUGUACGGGGAAAUGAAGUGGGAUGGAUCUGCUUCUUUUUCCUCAGGGGAGCUCCAGUCUUUGCCUUCACCUUGGACGUCAUCUCCCAGCUUCGGGUGCGCUCUCCAGCCUUCCUUCACAGACCCAUUGGCCUC